CCUUAUUAAUUCUGCCUUGAAACCACAGGUACAGAGAAGAGCAUCCACAGUACCCCAGAGCCCAACUCAAGAGCAAGCAGAAUCAUCUUGAAAGGCUUGGAAGAAAUAUUAGUGCUGCCCUUGAGGAUGGCCUGCUUCAUCAGUGUUACCCUGAAGAGGAGUUUGAGUUUGUCAUCCUAAAGCUGCAAAACAAUUUGGUUCUUAUGUGAGAUAGUAAAAACAUCCUGCCAAAACCACAAUGUGGUGGAAAAAUUAAACAUCAGAUCAUAGCUCUGUGAAAAGAGUUAUAUGGAUUAUCCACAGAUGAACUCCUAGGAAUACUGUUUAGCUGGGGUUCCUCUUCUCCUCUCCGAUCUUAUCUCUCAGAGAUUGUUCAGGUGAUGUUUCCUUUCAUAUCUCACUUUAGAAAAGCAGUCAAUCAGUAUUUGGUCUUCCAUUUUCCCACAUUGCCAUGAGUUAGUGGAAUGUUCAUUGUCUUACUUGAUGUAGGAACACAAAUCCUAAACCUGCUGCUCUCCUCCUAAUCUCUCAGGGUCAUCACAAGAGCUGCUCAUGGUUAUCCUCUGCUGAGCCAAAGGCCCAGGAGGGUUACUGCAUUUCCUUCUAAUCCUUCAUAACCAUUUCCUAUUAAGCUCAAACAGCUCUCAGCUUUCCAACAGUUUUUUAACCUUUUGUUCCUUAGUUGCUUUUACUGUGUCUAGGUUAUUUUAAGGAGAGAGAAUGACUUUAUCUUUAGGCCUCUACUAAAUAGAGGUCUUUUACUUCAGGCCUCUAUUCUCCUGAGGGAAGGUUAAUAUACUAACAUAAAUCAAAGACCUGACCAUUUUGGCCAGGCACAUCCAUGACCUUUUCCCACGGCAGUGUUUAAAUGCCCCACAACUACCUGUGAAUUUAUUCUUACUGUGCUACAGUGAACAUCCUAAGUCAUUGUUGCUAAAUUCCCCCCACCCCUACAAAAACAUCAUGUCUCAGGUUUCCCAGAUCAUGUCCCUUAAGUUUACAAUCAAACAGAGAAGUUGUCUCAAGUCUGGGUCACCAGUCAAUACUUCAAUGACACCUUCUUUCCAGUUGUCCCAGGGGUUUGUCUGGUGGGGAUCUGCUUUUUCCCAAAUGGGGUAUGCACACUGAAAGGCUUGGCAUGACCCUUCUAUGCUGAGUCCCUUCUGAAACAUGGAGUGAGAUACAAACUUAAGGCUUUUUCUGGAUGGUUUGGGCAUCUUCAAACAACCACUACCCAAGCUGUGCAGAUGGGGAAACCCAUCCCAGAUUUCCUCAGAUGUGAAAUAGGAGUUUGACUCCAGAGCUUCUAGAAAUAGACAGCAUAUUAGCCAGAGAAGAAAUAUUCUGCAUAAAAUUCACUCUCAAUCCAGCUACAUCAGAAACAAGACAGACAAAAUCAAACUUCUUCCCAAGGUAAAUUACAAAUAUUAGCUACAAGCUAGCUACAGGCUCACAUAAUUGAAGUGAAUAUGCUAAUUGUAACAAACCUGGACUCCAGCCAGGAUAUAAAUUCAUGUUGCAACAUGAGUAGAUAUCUCCCAGCAUUAAUGAGUACAGAGUGAUCUAUUUCCUUAGAGCCCCUGUUGAUAUCUUAUCUGUGUCACCAUGAGAUGCUGCUCUCACACUCAGGGGUGCUAAAAUGUGCUCUUGUAAUGAUGGCUUGUUAUGAACGGGAGCUGCCAGUGCAUUGCAAGAGGAAAUUACCCCUCUGUCCUUUGACUUCUUUCAGAACCAUUUCUUUGUUUUCCUGGAAAGGUGGCAGUGGGCCACACUUUGAAUUGGUGAGUGAAUACAGACCAUGAGCCACUGGUAUGCAGGUAUAGAGCCAUGAAGGUGUCCCAAGGCCUGCAUAAGGUUAAUCUGUGAAGAAAGACCAAGAAAUCAAAAGGACUCUGAAAUAGACAGGGAAAAUCUGGUAUCAUCUUCACUAAGCUAGCCAGCAUGGCAAUCCCUUGUUGGAGGUAGAAUCUCAUGGGGCAUAAUCAAUGAAUAAUGUUUUAUGACAUCUCAAUCUGUCCCAAAGUCUCCACUCCUUCCUGAUGAAUGGUGAUCUAUCUGUAGUUAAUCACUUCUCAAAUAGCAAUUCAACAUCCUAGAGCUCUGACCCUUUGGCAAGUAAACCUCAGUAGUAUAGAUCACUGCUUGGCACAGCCUCAGUGCCAAAGCUCCCAAGGCACAUUCAAGCAGUGCUUCACUCUCAGCAAGGAACUCCAGACAAAGUCAGGAUAUGGGUUCCUGACUACAUGAAGACUCAACUUUGCUUGACUGGGCUCUUCUGAUAACUUUAACUACCUUAACACAUUUCCUCUCCUUGACCUAUAUUUGCUGAUGUCACUUCUCUCAACUGAAGUAGAAGUGCUAAGAUGUAGAGUGUUUUCAAACUGCACAGGUACUUUUGUGUGUAUAUAAAUUGCUUUUCCAGGUGCCUCUGCAGGUGGAUUAAACUUGGCAGUGCUACAAAUAACACAGUCUCUACUGGAGAAUCUGUGUUCACAGAGAAGGAGAGUGGAUGACAAGACCUAUAAGAAGCAGAGAGCAGCUCUGAGGCAGAAAUUCAAAGUCUGCUAUCUGGGCAAGUGUCCUAGUAUACUUGGUUGUUGAGCAAAGGGAAUGCUGUUUUCUGUUGCUACCCUGCAGUAUGAGAAAGAUGUGUUCCUGCCAGCACCUGAAUGCACAGUGCCAGAGCCUGAGCCCUCCAUGAGACCUUGGAGGUUAAAAACCACCUUCACAGCUCCUCUGGACAUGAACGAGUGUUGGUACCCAUCUGCCAUGGCAAAACUUCACCUGGGAGGAAACUGGAACAUAAUGCAGGAUUGUGCAGAGCAGGCAUUGCCUCAUGAGUGACCAGAGCACACAGGUGGAGAGGCCUAGGAUGGACCCUACCUGGAAGAAGAGAGACCUUGGGAAAGAAAGGUGAUAUCCAGGAUCACCAGUUGGGAAGGAGAGAGAAGACUUGGGCUGAGAAAGGAUUGUGACAGAGCAUGUAAAAAAAAGAAGGCCAGAAGAUGCUGAGUGCGCAAUGUGCUUAAAAACACCUUCAGAGACCAGACACAGAGGAUGUGAUGGAAAGAACCCAAAGACAUGCAUUAUUUCUGUAGUGAAAUAAAGCCUGCAGUAGCACUAGCAGAGGGAAGCAUCCUGGUGGUGGUAUCAAAUAAAAUGGGACAAAUAUGAUUGGCAAGCACAGUAUUCCUCAACCCACACUCUGUCAAGUGAGACCCAGUCAGCAGGGAAAGGAGGGCACACACAGGCAAAUCAGCAGUGAUGUGCAGGGUCUGUUCCAGUGGAAGUGGAUAUUGGAUCAGGCCUUGCUACAAUCAAGUACAACUGAUUAAAGCAAAACUGCACUGUUGUGAACUGUGGGAAUUGCUAAUGCAACCAAGGUGAAUGGCCCUUACCAUUUGUGUUUUUCCCAAAUGCAUUUGCUGGAGCCAAGAUGCUGCCUGUGCGUCCACAGUGCUGUUUCUCUUUGUGCUGGCAUUGUUUCACUCUGAGUUCAUGUUCCCAAAGCCCUGCUCUGCCAUUUGUCCCUGGUGCUCCUCUCUCUCCCCCAGGUUUUGCAGUAUCAUUGCUCUGACAUCCCCAGCAUGAUCAUACCCAACAUUAUCCUGUCUCUUUUUUUCUUCCUGACAGCCACUCACAGGAAAUUCUCAUCUGAAGGAGGAUUUGUGAAGAGACCGUUGUCUCUGUGUGUUGUCUCUGACUUGUUCCCUUUUUGCAGUUCCUGUCAUAGCUCCUUGCUGCUCAGUCUCAGUUCUCUGAUGAAUCUAAUCUGCUUCCCCUGCUCCUUGACUGAAGAUACCAUCACAGCUGUUACUCAGUGCAUAGCAAGGGAGACAUCUCCAUCUGAUUACUCUCCUUUAAAAGCAAUAGCUUUGUGCAGAAUGUUUUCUUUCUCAGGGAUUGGACUAGAUGAUCUCCAGAGGUCUCUUCCAACUCUGACAAUUCUGUGAUUCUGUGUUUCUUCCCUUUUGAGUCACUCCUUCCUUUUGCAAUUUGAGGUGGGCUCUUCAUUUCUCAGCCCAGCUUUGGACCCUGGAGUUUGGAAAGAACCAACAUCUCUGUCACCUUUCACUCAGUCACCAAAGUCACCUUCUUUAAUCUGCAAAUGUGUUCUCUGUAUUGGUCAAAUUCAAUAAAUACCUUUAAUGUGACUAUAUGUGUGUGUCUGUUCACACUGAGGUAAGAGCUUGGAGGCAGCAGUCAGAGG
Molecule: long non-coding RNA, 4210 nt
Organism: Prinia subflava (tawny-flanked prinia)
Lineage: Eukaryota; Metazoa; Chordata; Aves; Passeriformes; Cisticolidae
Exons: 6
Source: RefSeq, a predicted model, not a curated record